GAUGAAGAACGCAGCGAAAUGCGAUAAGUAAUGUGAAUUGCAGAAUUCAGUGAAUCAUCGAAUCUUUGAACGCACAUUGCGCCCGCCAGCAUUCUGGCGGGCAUGCCUGUUCGAGCGUCAUUUCAACCCUCGAGCCCGACUUCCUUGCGGAGGACGGCUCGGCGUUGGGGGACGGCACACUCCCCCCGGCUCGCCGGGGACGCCGCCCCCGAAAUUCAGUGGCGGCCCUCGGAGGCGACCUCUGCGUAGUACCUCAACCUCGCAAAGGGAAGCUCCGAGCGGCCACGCCGUGAAACCCCAACUAUAUCAAGGUUGACCUCGAAUCAGGUAGGACUACCCGCUGAACUUAAGCAUAUCAAUAAGCGGAGGA
This 370-nucleotide unclassified non-coding RNA is filed under the name soil metagenome. RNAcentral describes it as "partial contains 5.8S ribosomal RNA, internal transcribed spacer 2, and large subunit ribosomal RNA". The stretch from base 1 to 120 matches the Rfam family "5.8S ribosomal RNA", at positions 35 to 154 of the family's 154-position model. The record is from RNAcentral.